This 253-nucleotide ribosomal RNA is filed under the name uncultured bacterium. RNAcentral's name for it is "partial 16S ribosomal RNA". It matches the Rfam family "Bacterial small subunit ribosomal RNA", at positions 524 to 776 of the family's 1533-position model. The record is from RNAcentral.
UACGGGGGGGGCAAGCGUUGUUCGGAAUUACUGGGCGUAAAGGGUUCGUAGGUGGCUUGCUAAGUCAGACGUGAAAUCCCUCAGCUUAACUGGGGAACUGCGUCUGAGACUGGCCGGCUUGAGUGCAGGAGAGGAACGCGGAAUUCCAGGUGUAGCGGUGAAAUGCGUAGAUAUCUGGAGGAACACCGGUGGCGAAGGCGGCGUUCUGGACUGCUACUGACACUGAGGAACGAAAGCCAGGGGAGCAAACGGG